This is a long non-coding RNA of Penaeus chinensis, 2353 nucleotides long. RefSeq lists it as uncharacterized. Lineage: Eukaryota; Metazoa; Arthropoda; Malacostraca; Decapoda; Penaeidae. The record is from RefSeq and is a predicted model, not a curated record. The transcript is spliced from 4 exons.
AAUUCGUUCACUUAAAUUGUUUAUAUUAUUUCAGGCAGCGGCGUGUGCAACAGCAAGAAGAAAAUUGAGAACCAGACUUUACGAAAAAAGGAACAGAGAAGACACCAAGAAAAGUGUAAAAAUAGAUAUGAUGAUUGCAGUGAAAGCGAACAAUGUGCUGAUAAGAGUAUUGAAUAAUAAGAUAUAAUAUUUAAAGAAAUAUAAACCAACGGAACGAAAGGAGAAAAUAAGGGAAAUUUAGAUAUGUUUUUUAAGUGAUCGUGUAGUGAAAAUAAAAAACAAAGAAAAGGGUUAAAACAAGCAGGAAAUAGCAUAAAAAAACUCCCUACAUGCAACACAGAAAGAGAAACGACAGUAAACGAAGACGAGUUAAGGAAGAGAAGAAUAAGGCUAAAUAGAGGAAGGAGAAGAAGACUAAGAAGAAGAAAGCCAAGCCGAAGACCCAGAAGAAGAAAAAAAAAAGGAAAAGUCGAAGAGGAGGAAAGAAAAUAAGAGCAAGAAGAAAAGGAAGAAGGAGGAGGAGGAGGAGGACCCCUGAGGAACCCCUGAGGAUUCCCUGAGGACUACCUGAGGGCCCCCUGAGGACCCUCGAGGCCCCCUUGCACGUGGACAGCGCAGCCGUGUCUUCGUGGUCGCCUCCGCCGCCGUCGCCGCCGCACCCGCCUCGCCCCACCUCCUUCAGGAUGUCGACGCCGGGCGAGCGCCUCCUGUCGCAGAUCCACGCCAUGCAGGUGCAGGUGACCCAGCUCCGCCAUGAGGCCAGCAUCAAGCGCAUCCCCGUCAGCCAGGCGUGCCACGAAUAUGUGUAGCCCCGCCCACUUUCAUAUCGCCCGCCAAUGAGAUCCGGCGGCGCGUGACGUCACCAUCCCCUAAUCGCGGGCGUAUCGGGUUUCCGUCGAAGGACAUUUGACCCAAUCUCACGAAAGGUCAAGCAGCGUUUACAUGGCACGGAAGAGCGGCGCAGCCUGAUGAAGUACUGCGAGGAGACGCAGCAGGAGGACGUCCUCGUCACCGGGAUCACGCAGUCCGACAACCCCUUCAAGGAGAACAAGGCGUGCACCAUCUUGUGAUGCAGGCCAAACCGCACUAAAGCGGCGAAAGUGUGAAGGCGAGAACAGAAGAAAUCCUGCUGAUUCAUAUUUCAAAGAACACAAGAAAGAAAAGUAUUCGUCGCCUUCCACUAACUGCUUUUUCUUCUCGGAUUAUCUUAGAUUUAACUUUUGGCUUAUUUUUGUUUUAUCGGUCAUAGCUUAAUUUGGUAUUUCAUUGUUAUUCAUAUUACGUGAGUUGUAUAUCCUUAUUUAUUGAAGGUCAUUGUUAGUUUCGUUUUAUUUCUCUUGUGAAUUUGUUAAAAAAAAAAUCUGAAAGACACAAAUAAUUCAAGCGGAAGUUAUUGUAAAAGUUAGAUAAUUUUGUUCAAGAAAAAUUAAGUCCUUUUUUAUCUCUUAGGAUGAUGUGGGAAGCCUUUCACGUUUGCUUGUUGUUUGUUUCUCUCUCCCCUUCGUUCAAAGCUCACUGACAAGGUUGUAUGACACGCGGAGCUUCGGUGGAGGCCUUGGGCGUGGGUGUGUACGUAGAUUUGUGUGUACGUAUAUGUGUGUGUACGGAGAUUUGUAUGUACGUAUAUUUGUGUGUACGUAGAUUUGUGUGUACGUAGAUUUGUGUGUACGUGGACUUGUGUGGACGUGCAUUUGUGUGGACAUGUAUAUGUGUGCGUGCGUAUGUUCAUGCUAUAGGAACCGCUUUUGUAGGAAGGCCUAUGGAUAACCUUUCCCCCCUCCUCCCUCCUUCCCGUCUCCCUCCUCUCAAUUUUCCAAAACGCAAGAAGUUCUGAAGGAAGAGGUCGAAAUACCCUUUUCCUCCCUCCCUCCCUCUGUAGCAAGAGGUCAAUAUUCCCUCAUUCUGGAGCAAGAGGCCGUAGUUCAGUCACGUCAGAAGCGAGGUAAAGGAAAACUGAAGAAAUAAGUCAAAAUCCCUCUCUCUUAUGAAGCAAGCAGUCGAAGUUAACCUCCCUCCUUCAUAGGCAAGGUCAAUCCCCUUUCCCGACGUUCUGAAGCAAAAGAGGUCAGAAUCCGCUCAGAAGUUCCCUCCCCUCCCUUCUGGAUCAAGAAGGUCAUCGCCCUGUGAGAACCGAGGUCAGGGACCCUUAGUGUGACCUUAUCUCUUGUCUUCUUAGGUCACCCCUGCCUGGCGCCUUCCGACAUGUUUACGAACGCAAAGCUCCUGGAGGAUUCUCUCUCUCUAUCCUCCUCUUCCUCCUCGUCCUCCUCGUCCUCUUCUUCUUUCUCUUUUCUCCCCGUUCCUUCUUCUUUACCUUCUUCGAUCUCUUUGCCUUCUGUUUCUCCCUCUUCUU